AUACUAUAGUCAACGUGGUAACCUUGGAGAUGAGUUUUCAUAAAACAAUUCUUCCUACUUCCUAUAAUAUCCUGGUUUACUUUCUAACAUUUUCUCUGAUAUUAGAUGGUGGAAGAUGCUGUUCAUUUUCUUAGCAAAGAAACCAUGAUCCAGGCAAUUGCUCGAUCUGCCACAAAGGUACAGCCAUUUUCUAUUACCGCUGCCAACACUUUCAUUCUAUAUUUUUGCUC
Molecule: long non-coding RNA, 230 nt
Filed under: Capsicum annuum
Lineage: Eukaryota; Viridiplantae; Streptophyta; Magnoliopsida; Solanales; Solanaceae
Description: long non-coding RNA (CANN_LNC012661)
Source: RNAcentral